AGUGAACGCUGGCGGUAGGCCUAACACAUGCAAGUCGAACGGCAGCACAGUAAGAGCUUGCUCUUACGGGUGGCGAGUGGCGGACGGGUGAGGAAUACAUCGGAAUCUACUUUUUCGUGGGGGAUAACGUAGGGAAACUUACGCUAAUACCGCGUACGACCUACGGGUGAAAGCAGGGGAUCUUCGGACCUUGCGCGAUUGAAUGAGCCGAUGUCGGAUUAGCUAGUUGGCGGGGUAAAGGCCCACCAAGGCGACGAUCCGUAGCUGGUCUGAGAGGAUGAUCAGCCACACUGGAACUGAGACACGGUCCAGACCCCUACGGGAGGCAGCAGUGGGGAAUAUUGGACAAUGGGCGCAAGCCUGAUCCAGCCAUACCGCGUGGGUGAAGAAGGCCUUCGGGUUGUAAAGCCCUUUUGUUGGGAAAGAAAAGCAGCAGGUUAAUACCCCGCUGUUCUGACGGUACCCAAAGAAUAAGCACCGGCUAACUUCGU
This 491-nucleotide ribosomal RNA is filed under the name uncultured bacterium. Its description in RNAcentral is "partial 16S ribosomal RNA". It matches the Rfam family "Bacterial small subunit ribosomal RNA", at positions 29 to 506 of the family's 1533-position model. The record is from RNAcentral.